RNAcentral lists this ribosomal RNA (494 nucleotides) under uncultured bacterium. RNAcentral's name for it is "partial 16S ribosomal RNA". It matches the Rfam family "Bacterial small subunit ribosomal RNA", at positions 28 to 507 of the family's 1533-position model. The record is from RNAcentral.
GACGAACGCUGGCGGCGUGCUUAACACAUGCAAGUCGAACGGAAAGGCCUGCUUUCCCUUGUGGAUUGCGGGUACUCGAGUGGCGAACGGGUGAGUAACACGUGAGUGAUCUGCCCCCAACUUGGGUAUAAGCCUGGGAAACUGGGUCUAAUUCCCGAUAGGACUGCAGGGUGGUGCCUGUGGUGGAAAACGAUUUUCUAGUGGUUGGGGAUGAGCUCGCGGCCUAUCAGCUUGUUGGUGGGGUAAUGGCCUACCAAGGCGGCGACGGGUAGCCGGCCUGAGAGGGUGGACGGCCACAUUGGGACUGAGAUACGGCCCCGACUCCUACGGGAGGCAGCAGUGGGGAAUAUUGCACAAUGGGCGGAAGCCUGAUGCAGCGACGCCGCGUGGGGGAUGACGGCCUUCGGGUUGUAAACUCCUUUCGACCGCGAGGAAGCCACCUGGUUGGAAGGGUGGUGACGGUAGUGGUAGAAGAAGCACCGGCUAACUACGUG